GAUGAACGCUGGCGGCGUGCCUAAUACAUGCAAGUCGAACGCAUUGUGGUUGAAAUGAUAUGAAGAACUUGUUCAGAUUUGAUUUUCAACAUUGCAAUGAGUGGCGAACGGGUGAGUAACACGUGGGAAACCUACCUCUUAGCAGGGGAUAACAUUUGGAAACAAAUGCUAAUACCGUAUAAUAAUUAAAACCGCAUGGUUUUAGUUUAAAAGAUGGUCUUGCUAUCACUAAGAGAUGGUCCCGCGGUGUAUUAGUUAGUUGGUGAGGUAAUGGCUCACCAAGACAAUGAUACAUAGCCGAGUUGAGAGACUGACCGGCCACAAUGGGACUGAGACACGGCCCAUACUCCUACGGGAGGCAGCAGUAGGGAUCUUCCACAAUGGACGAAAGUACUGAUGGAGCAACGCCGCGUGUGUGAUGAAGGUUUCGGCUCGUAAACACUGUUGUAAGAGAAGAAUGACAUUGAGAGUAACUGUUCAAUGU
Molecule: ribosomal RNA, 484 nt
Filed under: uncultured bacterium
Lineage: Bacteria
Description: bacterial SSU rRNA
Rfam family: Bacterial small subunit ribosomal RNA
Source: RNAcentral